GUGGGGAAUAUUGGACAAUGGGCGAAAGCCUGAUCCAGCCAUGCCGCGUGUGUGAAGAAGGUCUUCGGAUUGUAAAGCACUUUAAGUUGGGAGGAAGGGCAGUAAGUUAAUACCUUGCUGUUUUGACGUUACCGACAGAAUAAGCACCGGCUAACUUCGUGCCAGCAGCCGCGGUAAUACGAAGGGUGCAAGCGUUAAUCGGAAUUACUGGGCGUAAAGCGCGCGUAGGUGGUUUUGUAAGUUGGAGGUGAAAUCCCCGGGCUCAACCUGGGAACUGCCUCCAAAACUGCAUGACUAGAGUACGGUAGAGGGUAGUGGAAUUUCCUGGGUAGCGGUGAAAUGCGUAGAUAUAGGAAGGAACACCAGUGGCGAAGGCGACUACCUGGACUGAUACUGACACUGAGGUGCGAAAGCGUGGGGAGCAAACAGGAUUAGAAACCCUAGUAGUCC
Molecule: ribosomal RNA, 450 nt
Filed under: uncultured bacterium
Lineage: Bacteria
Description: partial 16S ribosomal RNA
Rfam family: Bacterial small subunit ribosomal RNA
Source: RNAcentral